UUGGGCGUAAGCGCGCGCAGGCGGUUUCUUAAGUCUGAUGUGAAAGCCCACGGCUUAACCGUGGAGGGUCAUUGGAAACUGGGAGACUUGAGUGCAGAAGAGGAAAGUGGAAUUCCAAGUGUAGCGGUGAAAUGCGUAGAGAUUUGGAGGAACACCAGUGGCGAAGGCGACUUUCUGGUCUGCAACUGACGCUGAGGCGCGAAAGCAUGGGGAGCAAACAGGAUUAGAUACCCUGGUAGUCCAUGCCGUAAACGAUGAGUGCUAAGUGUUAGGGGGUUUCCGCCCCUUAGUGCUGCAGCUAACGCAUUAAGCACUCCGCCUGGGGAGUACGACCGCAAGGUUGAAACUCAAAGGAAUUGACGGGGGCCCGCACAAGCGGUGGAGCAUGUGGUUUAAUUCGAAGCAACGCGAAGAACCUUACCAGGUCUUGACAUCCCAGUGACCGCUCUAGAGAUAGAGUUUUCCCUUCGGGGACAUUGGUGACAGGUGGUGCAUGGUUGUCGUCAGCUCGUGUCGUGAGAUGUUGGGUUAAGUCCCGCAACGAGCGCAACCCUUAAUCUUAGUUGCCAUUAUUUAGUUGGGCACUCUAAGGUGACUGCCGGUGACAAACCGGAGGAAGGUGGGGGAUGA
RNAcentral lists this ribosomal RNA (630 nucleotides) under uncultured bacterium. RNAcentral describes it as "bacterial SSU rRNA". It matches the Rfam family "Bacterial small subunit ribosomal RNA", at positions 554 to 1182 of the family's 1533-position model. The record is from RNAcentral.